CCUACGGGUGGCAGCAGUGAGGAAUAUUGGUCAAUGGACGAGAGUCUGAACCAGCCAAGUAGCGUGAAGGAUGACUGCCCUAUGGGUUGUAAACUUCUUUUAUAAAGGAAUAAAACGAGGCACGUGUGCCUUUUUGCAUGUACUUUAUGAAUAAGGAUCGGCUAACUCCGUGCCAGCAGCCGCGGUAAUACGGAGGAUCCGAGCGUUAUCCGGAUUUAUUGGGUUUAAAGGGAGCGUAGAUGGGUUGUUAAGUCAGUUGUGAAAGUUUGCGGCUCAACCGUAAAAUUGCAAUUGAUACUGGCAGUCUAGAGUACAGUUGAGGUAGGCGGAAUUCGUGGUGUAGCGGUGAAAUGCUUAGAUAUCACGAAGAACCCCGAUUGCGAAGGCAGCUUACUAAACUGUGACUGACAUUGAUGCUCGAAAGUGUGGGUAUCAAACAGGAUUAGAUACCCGUGUAGUC
RNAcentral lists this ribosomal RNA (460 nucleotides) under uncultured bacterium. RNAcentral describes it as "partial 16S ribosomal RNA". It matches the Rfam family "Bacterial small subunit ribosomal RNA", at positions 338 to 795 of the family's 1533-position model. The record is from RNAcentral.